This 1499-nucleotide ribosomal RNA is filed under the name Helicobacter sp. MIT 03-1614. Its description in RNAcentral is "bacterial SSU rRNA". It matches the Rfam family "Bacterial small subunit ribosomal RNA". Lineage: Bacteria; Pseudomonadati; Campylobacterota; Epsilonproteobacteria; Campylobacterales; Helicobacteraceae. The record is from RNAcentral.
UUUAUGGAGAGUUUGAUCCUGGCUCAGAGUGAACGCUGGCGGCGUGCCUAAUACAUGCAAGUCGAACGAUGAAGCUCUAGCUUGCUAGAGUGGAUUAGUGGCGCACGGGUGAGUAAUGCAUAGAUAACAUGCCCUUUAGUCUAGGAUAGCCAUUGGAAACGAUGAUUAAUACUGGAUACUCCUUACGAGGGAAAGUUUUUCGCUAAAGGAUUGGUCUAUGUCCUAUCAGCUUGUUGGUGAGGUAAUGGCUCACCAAGGCUAUGACGGGUAUCCGGCCUGAGAGGGUGAACGGACACACUGGAACUGAGACACGGUCCAGACUCCUACGGGAGGCAGCAGUAGGGAAUAUUGCUCAAUGGGGGAAACCCUGAAGCAGCAACGCCGCGUGGAGGAUGAAGGUUUUCGGAUUGUAAACUCCUUUUGUUAGAGAAGAUAAUGACGGUAUCUAACGAAUAAGCACCGGCUAACUCCGUGCCAGCAGCCGCGGUAAUACGGAGGGUGCAAGCGUUACUCGGAAUCACUGGGCGUAAAGAGCGCGUAGGCGGGAUAGCAAGUCAGAUGUGAAAUCCUAUGGCUUAACCAUAGAACUGCAUUUGAAACUGUUAUUCUAGAGUAUGGGAGAGGUAGGUGGAAUUCUUGGUGUAGGGGUAAAAUCCGUAGAGAUCAAGAGGAAUACUCAUUGCGAAGGCGACCUGCUAGAACAUAACUGACGCUGAUGCGCGAAAGCGUGGGGAGCAAACAGGAUUAGAUACCCUGGUAGUCCACGCCCUAAACGAUGAAUGCUAGUUGUUGUGGAGCUUGUCUCUGCAGUAAUGCAGCUAACGCAUUAAGCAUUCCGCCUGGGGAGUACGGUCGCAAGAUUAAAACUCAAAGGAAUAGACGGGGACCCGCACAAGCGGUGGAGCAUGUGGUUUAAUUCGAAGAUACACGAAGAACCUUACCUAGGCUUGACAUUGAUAGAAUCCGCUAGAGAUAGUGGAGUGCUAGCUUGCUAGAACUUGAAAACAGGUGCUGCACGGCUGUCGUCAGCUCGUGUCGUGAGAUGUUGGGUUAAGUCCCGCAACGAGCGCAACCCUCGUCCUUAGUUGCUAGCAGUUCGGCUGAGCACUCUAAGGAGACUGCCUUCGUAAGGAGGAGGAAGGUGAGGACGACGUCAAGUCAUCAUGGCCCUUACGCCUAGGGCUACACACGUGCUACAAUGGGGCGCACAAAGAGGAGCAAUAUCGCGAGGUGGAGCAAAUCUCAAAAACGUCUCUCAGUUCGGAUUGUAGUCUGCAACUCGACUACAUGAAGCUGGAAUCGCUAGUAAUCGUGAAUCAGCCAUGUCACGGUGAAUACGUUCCCGGGUCUUGUACUCACCGCCCGUCACACCAUGGGAGUUGUAUUCGCCUUAAGUCGGGAUACUAAAUUGGUUACCGCCCACGGCGGAUGCAGCGACUGGGGUGAAGUCGUAACAAGGUAACCGUAGGUGAACCUGCGGUUGGAUCACCUCCUUUCUA